GAUGGUGGCAGUGGGGCUGUGGGAGGAGAUAAGGUUGAGAGGGAAGGGUGUGAGCAAAUAGAAAUGCUUGGUUUGGAAGUUGUGGAUUGAUGACGUGGCUGGAGAUGUGUUUCUUUGUGAACUUAUAACAUAUUUUUGGACCAUUAAACGAUUUUAAAUAAAAAAGUUGUCAACUACAAAGUUUAAAAUUUCAUCGAGGUCUACAAUUUUGAUAUAAAGUUUGUAUUCAUCUGAGAUCGUAUGUAAAAUUUUGUAUUAAAAAAAUAUAACCUUUAAACUUAAUCCUUCUCAUCCUUAUCAUCAAAUGAAUAACUUGUAUGUUUGUGACCACUAAAUGAACUCAAAUGAAAAAUUUGUGGACUACAAAAUUUUAGAUCUC
Molecule: long non-coding RNA, 379 nt
Filed under: Setaria viridis
Lineage: Eukaryota; Viridiplantae; Streptophyta; Magnoliopsida; Poales; Poaceae
Description: long non-coding RNA (SVIR_LNC007432)
Source: RNAcentral